UCUCAGAGACAUCGUCCACGAUCACAAAGACAUUGUCCAUGAUCGCAGAGACUUUGUCCAUAAUCUCAGAGACAUUGUCCGUGAUCACAGAGACCUAGUCCGCGAUCACAGAGACGUAGUCCAUGAUCACAGAGAGUCUUUGACAAUGAAGUUGUUCUUUCAGACCAAGACAGAGGCCUCCAGGUGUCACCACUUCGUCCACAAGAUCAUCCACGAUCACAGAGACAUGGUCCAUGAUCGGAGAGACAUUGUUGAGGAUGAGGGAGACAUCGUCCACGAUCAGAGACGUUGUCCAUGAUCACAGAGACCUUGUCAAAGAUGAGAGAGACGUUGUCCAUGAUCAGAGACAUUGUCCCAUGCUUCGUAGAGACCUUGCGAUAGAAUCGGCGGAGACGGGGGUCACCGAUUUGACGGCACUGCCCGCGAUCAUGGAAACAUUGUCAAUGAUUACAGAGACAGCGUCUAUGAUCUCAGAGACAUCGUCCACGAUCACAAAGACAUUGUCCAUGAUCGCAGAGACUUUGUCCAUAAUCUCAGAGACAUUGUCCGUGAUCACAGAGACCUAGUCCGCGAUCACAGAGAUGUAGUCCUUGAUCACAGAGAGUCUUUGACAAUGAAGUUGUUCUUUCAGACCAAGACAGAGGCCUCCAGGUGUCACCACUUCGUCCACAAGAUCAUCCACGAUCACAGAGACAUGGUCCAUGAUCGGAGAGACAUUGUUGAGGAUGAGGGAGACAUCGUCCACGAUCAGAGACGUCGUCCAUGAUCACAGAGACCUUGUCAAAGAUGAGAGAGACGUUGUCCAUGAUCAGAGACAUUGUCCCAUGCUUCGUAGAGACCUUGCGAUAGAAUCGGCGGAGACGGGGGUCACCGAUUUGACGGCACUGCCCGCGAUCAUGGAAACAUUGUCAAUGAUUACAGAGACAGCGUCUAUGAUCUCAGAGACAUCGUCCACGAUCACAAAGACAUUGUCCAUGAUCGCAGAGACUUUGUCCAUAAUCUCAGAGACAUUGUCCGUGAUCACAGAGACCUAGUCCGCGAUCACAGAGAUGUAGUCCUUGAUCACAGAGAGUCUUUGACAAUGAAGUUGUUCUUUCAGACCAAGACAGAGGCCUCCAGGUGUCACCACUUCGUCCACAAGAUCAUCCACGAUCACAGAGACAUGGUCCAUGAUCGGAGAGACAUUGUUGAGGAUGAGGGAGACAUCGUCCACGAUCAGAGACGUUGUCCAUGAUCACAGAGACCUUGUCAAAGAUGAGAGAGACGUUGUCCAUGAUCAGAGACAUUGUCCCAUGCUUCGUAGAGACCUUGCGAUAGAAUCGGCGGAGAC
Molecule: long non-coding RNA, 1330 nt
Organism: Lates calcarifer (barramundi perch)
Lineage: Eukaryota; Metazoa; Chordata; Actinopteri; Centropomidae
Exons: 4
Source: RefSeq, a predicted model, not a curated record